CAGUAGCCGCGGUAAUACGAAGGGUGCAAGCGUUAAUCGGUAUUACUGGGCGUAAAGCGUGCGUAGGCGGUGAGUUAAGUCUGCUGUGAAAUCCCCGGGCUCAACCUGGGAAUGGCAGUGGAUACUGGCAAGCUAGAGUGUGUCAGAGGAUGGUGGAAUUCCCGGUGUAGCGGUGAAAUGCGUAGAGAUCGGGAGGAACAUCAGUGGCGAAGGCGGCCAUCUGGGACAACACUGACGCUGAGGCACGAAAGCGUGGGGAGCAAACAGGAUUAGAUACCCCAGUAGUCCCUGUCUCUUAUAC
RNAcentral lists this ribosomal RNA (301 nucleotides) under uncultured bacterium. Its description in RNAcentral is "partial 16S ribosomal RNA". It matches the Rfam family "Bacterial small subunit ribosomal RNA", at positions 509 to 807 of the family's 1533-position model. The record is from RNAcentral.